RNAcentral lists this ribosomal RNA (356 nucleotides) under Punctoterebra solangeae. Its description in RNAcentral is "partial 12S ribosomal RNA". Lineage: Eukaryota; Metazoa; Mollusca; Gastropoda; Neogastropoda; Terebridae. The record is from RNAcentral.
ACCNGAGUACUAUGAAUAUGAAAAAUUUAAAACUCAAAGAACUUGGCGGUGUUNUUAGACCACUUAGGGGAACCUGUCUCAUAAUCGAUAAUCCACGUUAUACCUGACCUUUUUUUGUUAUCAGUUUGUAUACCGUUGUCGUCAGGUAACUUUUUAGAAUUUAGAAGUUAGCAAUUAAGAAAAAUAAAAAUAAUCCGUUACGUCAAAUCAAGGUGCAGCUAAUAGAAAGGGGAGGAUGGGUUACAAUUAUAUAAAUCAUAAUAACGGAUAGGGGCAUGAAAUUUAUGUCAGCUGUAAGGUGGACUUAAAAGUAAAUUAAAUUACAUAAGCAAUUUGAAUAAGGCUCUGAAACGCGU